This 1409-nucleotide long non-coding RNA is filed under the name Homo sapiens (human). RNAcentral describes it as "non-protein coding lnc-SPAG6-1:1". Lineage: Eukaryota; Metazoa; Chordata; Mammalia; Primates; Hominidae. The record is from RNAcentral.
ACCUUGGCCUCCCAAAAUGCUAGGUUUACAGGCAUUAGCCACUGUGCCUGCCCCCCAUUUUCCUAUUAUUUUGUCUUCUCUCUUCCCGGCUACAGGGAUUUCUCUCAAGAGAUAGGCUGGCUUCACGUGCAAUUCUUGGUGCUCUCCUUGGGAUGAGUAUCUAUGGUGCCUUCUAGAGCUGGUAAUUGCAAUGUGACCACCAUGGACAGCCAUUAGCAUGUCUGCUCCACCCCUUCUUUGGGUACAUGCCCCUCUGGUCCCCCAAACAGAGACCUGGGGCCUUCCUUCACACUCUCCUCUCCCUUCUUCCCCACAUCCAAAUGGUGACCAGGAUUUGCCUUUACCCCGGAAUCUUCUCUCCAUGCACAGCCCAUUCUCGGCUCAGGUUCUCCUUAUUUCUCACCUGGAUUAAUGCUAUGGUUUUUCUCAACAUCUAUGCUUGGCCUCUUUUGUGGGAGGCUUUUCUUGUCCACCUGCACCCCUCAGUCUUGGCAGGAUGCCCUAUAUCUUUGCACUGCAACUUAUCCCAUGUACACUGAUUACAUAUUUAAUUUUGUCUCUUCCUCCAAUUCACCAUAAGCUUCUUGAGGUUGAAGACUGUGUUUUGUCCUUGAAUGGCCAGCUCUGAACAAUGCCCGACACAUCGCUGAUACUCAUUGUCUGUUGAGUAAAUGGAAGAUGAUUUGCAGUUGGUGCUGUGUUUUGUGUUACUGGGGGAAUCUUGUCCUGAGGGAUCUGAGUGUGAAUAUGCAGCUUCUCUAUCUGGGGCUUUGGAGUCUCUUUCUGUUGCCCAAGCUGGAAUGGCGUGAUCACGGCUCACUGUAGCCUUGAACUUCUGGGUUGAAGCAAUCCUCCCACCUCAGCCUCCUGAGUAGCUGGGACUACAGAUGUGCGCCACCACCCCUGGCUAGUGUUUGUAUUUUUUUUUGUAGAGAUGGGGUUUCUCCAUGUUGCCCAGUCUGGUCUCGAACUCAUAGGCCCAAGCAAUCCUCCUGCCUCAGCCUCCAAAAGUACUGUAGAAAUACACUUUUUAAAUUAAAACAGGCAGGUUGAAUGGGGCUCAAACCUAAGGAUUUAGUUUUUAGGCUCUAUGAUGUAGAAAAACAUCUGUUUCUUCGAUAUUACCAAAACCUCAGCAUAUUGUAUAGUAUAAUACUUGGUUAUAGCAGGCAUUUAAAAACAGUAAAUAAUAAAAACAAUAAGAGCUAUCAUUUGAGUGCUUCCCAUGUGCUAUGUAUUUCCUAUUCUGAAUAUUAUGUGAAUAUCUUUAGUCCUCACAACAGUUUUAUGAAGUUAGUAUUAUUAUUAUUAUCUCUAUUUAACAUUUGAGAGCACUGGGACCCAGAAGACUUCAGUGACAUGGUUAAGAACAACCGCAAGUCAGUAAUGGCACCAGAUAUGGACAUGGU